Molecule: ribosomal RNA, 678 nt
Filed under: Triticum aestivum (bread wheat)
Lineage: Eukaryota; Viridiplantae; Streptophyta; Magnoliopsida; Poales; Poaceae
Description: partial small subunit ribosomal RNA
Source: RNAcentral
AUGCAUGGUUACACGAAGCUGGUCGUCUGGCUACUGCUCCUGAGCAUCUUGUCAUCCUACUUUGCUCAUGGAAUCAGUGAUUCUAUGUCUAACAUUCAAUGCUUGAAGGAUCUCAAACAAUCGUUGAUUGAUCCUAAUGGUAGACUCAAACCCUCAUGGAAUUUUACCGUCGUCGACCGCGCUGAUGUUUACAGUGACGCCAUAUGCUCGUUCACCUGCGUGGUAUGCUGGAGCUCUGGUGAUAGCAGGGUUCUCAGUUUGAGUCUUGGGAAACUAGGACUUGAAUGUCCAUUCCCUCGAGGCCUCGAGCUUUGCACCUCCAUGACCACUCUGGACCUGUCAAACAACAACUUUUCAGGGCCUCUCCUGGAACACAUCUCGCAGCAGAUGACGUACAUAACCUACCUGGACCUCUCGAACAACAGUUUCUCAGGCGUGAUCCCUGCGAGCAUCGCGAACAUGACGUACCUGAGCACCCUCGCCCUUCAUCACAACCAGUUCGACAGCGAAAUUCCGGUGCAGCUGGGCAACACUUCGCGGCUCAUUUCGUUCAAUGUCGCCGACAACUCACUAUCAAGUCCUGUCCCAGACUCUGCAGCGCUUCCCGCCAGCCAACUUCACGGGCAAUCCAGGGCUCUGCGGGGUGCCGCUGGACAAGAAGUGCAAGAAGAGGUUUAG